Molecule: RNA transcript, 2701 nt
Organism: Micropterus dolomieu (smallmouth bass)
Lineage: Eukaryota; Metazoa; Chordata; Actinopteri; Centrarchiformes; Centrarchidae
Gene: r3hcc1l
Gene name: R3H domain and coiled-coil containing 1-like
Exons: 8
Source: RefSeq, a predicted model, not a curated record
GAAGUCUGCUUUAUUUUGAAGACGCUGCGAAACAAAAACAUCACAGCGACGGCACAGAAAUACAUUUUAGAGACAGCACAUUAAUACUUCCUGCCAGGGUAUAACUCGUGACCUAUAAUAACAAUGAACAUUCUCAUAAAAAUACAAAAUUGACAUUAAACAACCGUGCUGACCAUCCAGAGUGGGUCUGCUGCAGCGCCAUUCAAGAACACCAUCUCCCAGAAUGCUUUGCGUUGACCUCAGCUUGCGUCAAUAGUGCGACGAAAAUCUAUUGCUAAACAAACCAAACACGGAGUUUUUAACAACAUGGAGCUGGAACAGCCAAAAGAAGACAGUCCUCCAACACCCACACCUCAAUCUCAGUCAAAAAGGCCAAGUCAGGCUCUUUACGCCCCCAAGCAACGAAAUAGUGGCUCCAAAGAUAAAGGUCAGAGUCAGGGAGAAGUCAAACCAAGACCCAGGCCUCGCUACACAGACAAGGCAAGAAAAAACGCCAAGAACAAGAACAACAAGACUGGAGCAGCUGAUAAAGGAGCGCCAGUUGGAGGAGAAGAUGGAGGUGACAGCAAGCCUGCUGUGAAAGAAGAGCAGGAUGCAGAUGUGCAGGUUAAUGGCCACGCUGCAACCAAUGAGGAGAUGCUAGCAGAUACUACCUCAUGUCUGGAAGCAACAUCCCUUCAGGACGAAAAGGGGGAAGAGGACAGUUGGGACACCUUGUUCAAUGAUGAUGGAGAUUGUCUGGAUCCGCACCUGCUUGAAGAGCUGGCUGUGAAUGAAGGUAGAAAGAAGGGAUCAAUCCAACAGCCCAGGUUUGAUUACUACAACAUGGACCAAGAUGAUGAUGACGACGACAUUGACCUCAGUGAGGAUGAACUUUCUCACAUUGUAGAGAUCUACGACUUCCCUGCAGAGUUUAAGACAGAGGACCUUCUCAAGUUAUUUCAGUGUUACCAACAGAGAGGCUUUGACAUCCAGUGGAUUGAUGACUCACAUGCCCUGGGUCUCUUCUCAAGCCCCAUAGCAGCCCGUGAAGCUCUAAGAUCCAAACAUCCCCUGAUGAAGUUGCGACCACUCUCCAAAUCCUCCCCUGCUACAAAGGCCAAAGCCCGUAGCUGCUCAGACUACCUCCUUCCUGCUAAACAGAGACCUCAAACGAGUGCAGCGCUGGCUCGCCAGCUUGUGAUCGGCGCCCUUGGUGUGAAGAGCAACAUCACAAAGGAGCAGCGCGAUGCAGAGAGGAGGAAACUCCAGGAGGCAAGAGCAGGCCUGCUCUCUCCCCUAGUAACCUAUGUUUAAGAAGCAGACAUGGGUCGGAAAUACUGCAGAGUGGCCUGUUGCUACAGUGAAUAAUAUGUAACAAAAGCGCCUGGCAGCCAAACAGAAGGAAGAUGCUUGGGAUGGGAAGUGACUGCACAGAAAGCUACCCCCACCCCACCCACCGGCUUCUCCUGUUUGUUAUUUUAUUUCUUUCAACUGGCCACUCCUUCUUACCACUGUGCUUCCUAAAAAUGGGUUCCCACCAUUUUUUUCUUCUUUCUGCCACAGUCCUCCAGCUACUCUUACUGAACGUCUCAUAAUUCUACUGUCUGUCCAUUUGCGUGCAGUGUUGCAUCAAAUGUGAGCGUCCUGCUACUGUUCCCUUACCUCAGCUCAUACCUUGUCUGUGCAGGGACUGUUGCCUCUGUGUCACGGCCAGGGCUUACACAACCGGCUCACCUUUUUGUAGUGAAGCACUGAGUCUAAUCAUUUUAAAGGGUAACUACGGCUUCAAAAUAAUUAUUUUUUUAAUAGAGGCCACAUGUAUGUCUUUAUAUGGAAUUUAUUUUAUGUUUUUAAAGAUGACACAAGUGGAUGCACCUGUUAAUGUUAGAGCAGCAAAGCUUUCUAUUAAAGGUCCUGUAAUAUUCAGUCAUGCAAUUCAGUAGAUCAUUAUACUAUGAAAACAAUGUUGAGAUUACACUUGAAUUAAAAAUGUUGCAUUUUUUGGACAUUUUGAUGUUCACUUUUUAAUUGUACCCGUGAGCUCUUAUUAGUUCUUAUUAAACAUUUUCUGAAAAGCCUCCAGAGAAGCUGCCGCUGUUCUAGUCUAGUAUUAUGGCUGUUCUGUUUGUUAAAACCUACAGGAGAAUGUAUUGUGUUUUCAACGAGAGGAGCCCUGUUGUACAAGUAGUACUGAUGAUGAUGAUGAUGAUGGUCAUUCUGAAGAGCAAAUGACAGUUCAAAUUAAAGAGAGCAUUUUAUUGUAGGGAGAAAAUGUUGUGAAGACAGUGUCCAUGUUCAAAAACAACCAUGUGUCUGUCUAAUAAUGGAGGCAAAAUUCUGUCCUUUAACAAAGUUACUUUUUUCACAACAUGAUUAACAUCCAUUUUACCUGGUGGUAGUACAUGUGAAAACUUAAAAGUGGCAGAUCACCGGCUUGUAAACUUGAAUGAAACUGUUGAGCAGAUAUUGUAUUUCAGUUGCAUACAUUUUAAUUCAAGCUAAAUUAUUUUCAUGAAAUAAGUUAAAAGUUAAAUGAAGUUUAAAAAUGUAUGAUGGCAUUUAAACUCCAACGCCCGUUUUGAUUUUAAAACUGCUUUAGAUUUAAAAAAAUGUGCGGUGACCAAUCUCAAAAUGCUGUUUUUCUUUAUUCCUGUAAAGUUGAGAUUUUGGACUUGUAAAAAAAGACAAUGUGUUUACUGAAUUAAACAUUUAACUUCAA